GCACACAUAUUUAUUUGCAUAUACUAAAACUGGAAUGAUACAGAGAAGAUUAGCAUGGUCCCUGCACAAGGAUGCCAUGCAAAUCUGUGAAGUGUUCCAUAUUUUU
This 106-nucleotide small nuclear RNA is filed under the name Salvator merianae (Argentine black and white tegu). Lineage: Eukaryota; Metazoa; Chordata; Lepidosauria; Squamata; Teiidae. The record is from RNAcentral.